This 101-nucleotide non-coding RNA is filed under the name Ochromonas sp. CCMP1393. Lineage: Eukaryota; Chrysophyceae; Chromulinales; Chromulinaceae. The record is from RNAcentral.
GAGCGGAUUCUGGCGCUCGCGCAGGAACGAAACCUCUUCGUGCUCUCGGACGAGAUCUACGGUGACCUGUACUUUGGGGGGGAGGCUGGAACAGCAGCUCC